CUUGACCCUAUCCCCUCCUCUCUUCUCCAGACCAUUUCCGGAGACCUUCUCCCCUUCCUCACCUCGCUCAUCAACUCAUCCUUGACCGCUGGCUACAUCCCUUCCGUCUUCAAGAGAGCGAGAGUUGCACCCCUUCUGAAAAAACCUACACUCGAUCCCUCCGAUGUCAACAACUACAGACCAACCUAUCUGCUGCCUUUGAUACUGUGAACCAUCAGAUCCUCCUCUCCACCCUCUCCGAGUUGGGCAUCUCCGGCGCGGCCCACGCUUGGAUUGCGUCCUACCUGACAGGUCGCUCCUACCAGGCGGCGAAUCGCAUCUCUGCAUGUCUGUCAGACAUAUCAGUGUGGAUGACGGAUCACCAGCUCAAGCUGAACCUCGGCAAGACGGAGCUGCUCUUCCUCCCGGGGAAGGACUGCCCGUUCCAUGAUCUCGCCAUCCCGGUUGACAACUCCCUUGUGUCCUCCUCCCAGAGUGCUAAGAACCUUGGCGUGAUCCUGGACAACACCCUGUCGUUCUCCACUAACAUCAAGGCGGUGAC
This 541-nucleotide long non-coding RNA is filed under the name Salmo salar (Atlantic salmon). RNAcentral's name for it is "lncRNA (ENSSSAG00000120467.1)". The record is from RNAcentral. Lineage: Eukaryota; Metazoa; Chordata; Actinopteri; Salmoniformes; Salmonidae.